This is a long non-coding RNA of Homo sapiens (human), 4034 nucleotides long. Ensembl annotates it as MMADHC divergent transcript. Its record names the gene MMADHC-DT. NCBI's taxonomy places the organism in Eukaryota, Metazoa, Chordata, Mammalia, Primates, Hominidae. The record is from Ensembl.
CCACUGUCUCCAGCUGUCCCAGAACCGGACUCUUCCUGCCAUCAAAAUGGCGGCGGCGACGGCAGCGGUGGUAGCACCUACGCUGGCGGUGAGCAGGCAAAGGAAGUUGCUUCCGAGCGCGUCGAAACGAUGAUGCGCACGCGCAAAGUAGGCCUACGUGGAGCCGACCUGCCAUUGGGUAAACGCAAGGGAGGAGAAAAGGGAACCUGAUGGAAUAAACUGCUGUGAGAGGGAGUAUUGAAAAUACUUCUCCCCUGGACCUUGUUCCCAGGCUCCGUGUGAAGCUGAACACUCCGCAUGAUCUCCCUGCCACCAUAGCAAGCUAUGAAGUUCAUUACACAUGCAGGUAGCAGACAAUACAGCUCUGCUUCCAUUUCUGAGCACCUACGGUAGACUGCCAUUAUUCAGUGUGCCAGCCUGUUUCCAAGCCUACAAUGUAUAGUUCCUCUACCUCCAGCAGAUUAGAAGAAAAUGAGAAGUGAGGAUGAGAAAGCUAUUACUGCACAGUCUAUUCAUAAAUGCUCAAAACGAUGUCCCUGAGUCACUUAAAUGUGUUUGACUUAUGGUGGGUAUCCUCUUAUAAAAAGGCAGUUUUCACAGAAUAGUAGAAUUUGGUUAAAAAAAAAAAAAAACUAUUAGAAAAAUUUACUUUAACCUCCUUUCCUUUUUUCUAACUUUUUAAUGAAAUAUAAUAUUCAUGCAGAAAACUAUCAGAUUAAAGUGUAUAGCUCACUACAUUAAAAAAAAGUGUAUUGUGAUCAGCAUCCAGAUUAAAGAAAGAAAGGUUAUUUCCAGAAACCAAUAACCCUCUUACCCUUUUUCAAUCACCACAUUCCCCACCCUCCCAAAGAUAGUUGCUGCCCUACUUCUAACAGCAUUGCCUUUGUACUUUAUAUAAAUAGACUCAUACAGUAUGCACCCUUGUACUACUUUGUGUCUGAAUUAUUUUAACUUUUUUUUUUUUUAAAUAAUGACACCCAGGAUGUGACAGGCACACAAAUAAUGACCAAGCAAGGAAUACAAGAAGCCACAGGUCUUCAUCUUUGGACUAAAGCAAUUCUCACUAGCUCUUUCAGAAAGUUUUUGCUCCAUAAGACUUUAACACAUUUUCAUCUUAAAAGAUGUUUCAACUAUAUGAAUCAACAAAGAAACAAAGAUAUAAAAAACAAUAAAAUUAAACAUCUAAGUAAAUAAUUUAUUAUAUGCAAAAUGAGUAGCUGCAAUGUCAAAUUUUGUCUGCUUAAUCUCACGUGUAAUCCAGAUAUAAAUAAGUUAUUGUUUUGAACGAUAACUUUAUUUUUAUGUCCUCUAUGCCUCCACAAAAUUAACUGUACCUAACUGGCCAAUUUUCAGAAGGUUAACUUAUCUCUAUGAAUAUAUAACUUCAAUAAUUCUCAUCUUUGCAUAGAUGUGUGAUGAACAAUGUGGAAGUAAAAAUGGCUGAAAACACAAACAAAAAAAUUAGUAGAUUGACUCCAGAAUACUAAUGCUGUGGUCCUUUGCAUCAGAGAUUAAGUAUGCUUCACUAGAAGUGUGGAGGUAGGCCAGCUGAAUCCUUGUGGUCACUCACCAGCUGAAUGCCCCCCAAACCCUUGGUCUUGGCCUGAAAGUUAUUUUAUUUUUCUUUAGUGACUAUUGAUAAUAUAUUAUUUUGGAGACAACCUAAAAUCGGUAACAGAAGUUAGUUAUGUCUAUUAAUAAAACAGAUUUAUAAAAAAGAAGUAUCCCAAAAUGGCAUACAUAUUUAGAAAUCCCUAAAAUUCUUAAAGAAAAAUGUUUGAAUUAAUAAUGUUCCAUUUUCCCUAGCAUUUCUAUUUCCUGUUUGGGGAAAUUGUCAAUAUGAUGUCCUGCAAUGUUGUUUUUUUAGGUUUGUGAUUAGUUUUUGUAAUGCUCCUUAUUUUUAUCUGGUCUACUGUAACACUGCACUUAGCAUGAACUAAAAAUUGUUAUUACUAAUUGAUUUAAAUUAAUUUCAUAGGCAUUAUAUUACAUAAUAAAAUGCAAUAAAAAUUGCAUUCUCUCUAUAUCUAACAACUCAAGUUUAGGGGAAUAAAUUUAGCAAAGGCCCAUGCAAAUCUAUAGGUCCUUUUUCCAAAUAAAAAUUUUGAAUUUGAAAAGGAACAAAAAUUUAUCACAUGUAUAAAAUGUAGAAAAGCGUAACUUUAGCACGCAGUUGGCUGAUAUCUAAAAAAACAGCCAUCCCCAUAAGAUAUAUAAGCAAGUGAAAAAAGACACAUAUAGAAACAAUAUCAUUUCCGUUCUCAGCUCAGAGGUCACAUGUGAAAGAUUAUUAAAAAGAAAAUUGUUUGCUGGUUGAAGUUAACCCUUCCCACAUACCAUGUCUGUGUAAUGUCUAAGUUGACACAUUGUAAUUAUGUGAAAGCCAUAUUUAAACAUGAAGUUUUCAGAUGUAUAUUUUUAUGAAUCACUUUGAAUCACUCUUCUGUAUGAAACAUUCAUUUGAAAGGCAUUUAAGGUAAGAUUUUCAAAUCCGUUUUAAGAGGUGGUUGACUUUAACCAAAGAUUUAAAAUUAAUUUCACUGCUAUUUGUCUUUAAAGCCGCCACGGUGACCUCAGAAAGUCCAGACUUUCUACUGAAACGUGACAGGAGAUCUAAAAUUAUCACAAGGGUUUCACAAAAUUUUAAAAUCCAGAUUGAUUUUAAUUUGAAAAAAGUCAAUACUUUAUCUUCUGAAUGUGAGAACUUUAAAUAAGCUGAACAGCACUGAGUUACUUAAACAAGUUGAUUUCAAAUGUGGAACAAAGGCUUUUCAUUUUCACUUGUGGGCAUUUCCCAUUUUGGAAAAUGGCAUGUGGCUGAGGCAGCGGAACCUGUCUUGGUAUGGCAAGAACAGUGGCAUCAAGGAACAGUGCUUAGGAAGUCAUCAGUACCUGUCUUGGAAAGCAGCCCAUUUGUAUGUGCAUUGUGUUUUUUAACAAAAUGUGUAUCUGCUUGCCUGUGGGAGUGCCUCGUGUAUGUGUGUAUACUGCAGAUCAUUUCACUGUGUCUCAAUUUCCUCAUCUAUGAGAUGGUCACAGACACUGCCGUCAGCAUUCCUCAAAUUCCUAAACCUAGGCUUUUGAAAACCAGCUAAGGAUUCCAAAGUAAAUGAUGGGGCUUGGAGGUAUAAAGAAAAAUGAAACUGAGCUGUUAUAACUCUUUUCCACGUUUCCAAACUUGAGCACACCCAUUCCCGACCAGAUCCCCUUUCCCAUAAUUUCCACUUCUGAUGUUGGACCAUGACUGGAAAAAAAGGAAAGCUGGAAGAAAUAACUGAAAAAUCCAAGAGGAAAGAGUGAAACUAAAUCUCCUAAUAGAAAAAGUGGAACAUGAUUGUCCUAAUUUCCUAAUCGUCUGCCCCUGAGUUACUGGUAAAAGCACUAAGAGACGUCCCAGAUAUUAUGAUCCUUUUACACAGCAUGCAGAUGGAAAAUCAGGGUGGGAUAAAGGAAGAGAAGAACAGAGAAGAGGCAGAUUAACAGAAUCAAAUUCCAGAUGGGAAAGGAUGGAGAAAGGCAAAUGGCAUUCGGGCUCUCCCUCUCAACUAUUCAUGCUUUUUCCUAUGGGAGAAAAGGGAGGUGGUUUCUUCUGGAUGCUCUAAGUCUGGGCAGACAAUAAAACAUCACCACAGUGACAGCCGGGUUAUUACUUUCCAGCUUGUGACCAAAAUGAGACCCUAGUGUGGCAGAAUUAAAAUUCGCAAUCUCAUCCAUGAAAGGAUUUUCUGUACCAGACGUUUUGUUAAAGGUCUUUAAAAAACAGCCUAAUGUGUUAAUAUUGAAAAUAGAUGCAUGUAAUUUGAGAAUGAGUAUAAAAUACCGUGUGUAUUGAAUUAAUAAUGUUUCAUUACUCACCAUCACAGAGUCAUUAUUUUAAAUAACCGUAUUUCAUUUCAGUGGACAGAGUGUAAAUGAGUAUGUAUUUUUAUGUAAAGUGGACCUGCAUCAUUAUUUAUUCAUGAGUUUUAAAAGGAUCAUUAUUUUUGACAGACAGCUCCUGUCAAAAGAUUUAUGCAUAAGAGCUCAUGUUUCCC